UACGAAGGGGGCUAGCGUUGCUCGGAAUCACUGGGCGUAAAGGGUGCGUAGGCGGGUCUUUAAGUCAGGGGUGAAAUCCUGGAGCUCAACUCCAGAACUGCCUUUGAUACUGAGGAUCUUGAGUUCGGGAGAGGUGAGUGGAACUGCGAGUGUAGCGGUGAAAUGCGUAGAUAUCCGUAGGAACAUCCGAGGCGAAAGCGGCUCGCUGGAUCACAACUGACGCUGAGAGACGAAAGCUAGGGGAGCAAACAG
RNAcentral lists this ribosomal RNA (252 nucleotides) under uncultured bacterium. RNAcentral's name for it is "partial 16S ribosomal RNA". It matches the Rfam family "Bacterial small subunit ribosomal RNA", at positions 524 to 775 of the family's 1533-position model. The record is from RNAcentral.